RNAcentral lists this ribosomal RNA (799 nucleotides) under Metrocoris esakii. Its description in RNAcentral is "12S ribosomal RNA". Lineage: Eukaryota; Metazoa; Arthropoda; Insecta; Hemiptera; Gerridae. The record is from RNAcentral.
AUGUCAGGGGGGGGGGAAGGACAACUUAUUGGUUCCUUCGAUUUUAUUUGUUAUUUUUAAUAAAAGUUUGAUUCUUUCUUUAAAAUUUAGUUUUUAAACUUUAUUAUAUGUAAGUUUUUCUAAAAGGUUUAUUUUUCAGUGUUUAAUUUUGGAUUUUAUAAAAAGUUAAAACCAGGGCUUUAAUAUUUAACUGACAAAAAUUGUGCCAGCCGUCGCGGUUAUACAAUUAGUUAAAUUGAAUUUUUUUGGUUAAAUAUUAAUAUUUAUUUAUUUAUAAUUUAAAUUUAAAUCUUAAGGUGAAAUUUUGAUUUAAUAAUUUAUUAUUGGUUUUAGAUUGAUAUUUGAAAAUCAUUAAAAAACUAGGAUUAGAUACCCUAUUAUUUUGAUUGUAAAUUUACUUUAAUAUUAAUAGUUAUGUUCUUAAAAUUAAAAGAAUUUGGCGGUUAUUUAAUCUUUCUAGAGGAAUCUGUCCUUUAAUUGAUAAUCCACGAUUGAUUUUACUUUUAUUUUGCUUAUAUAUCGCUGUCAUUGAAUGUUUUAAAAGAAUAUUUUCUUAAAAUUUUAUGAAUUUAAUGUUAGGUCAAGAUGUAGCUAUAUAAAAGUAGAGAUGGAUUACAUUAAAUUUAUUUAUGGAAAAGCAUUUUUUAUUUUGUUUUAAAAUUGGAUUUAGAUGUAAUUUUUAUAAAAUAGUAAUUUUGAUUUUAGUUCUAAUUAAUGUACACAUCGCCCGUCACUCCCAUUAUUGAGUUGGGAUAAGUCGUAACAAAGUAGUUCUACCGGAAGGUGGAUCUGGAUAUUU